This 508-nucleotide ribosomal RNA is filed under the name uncultured bacterium. RNAcentral's name for it is "partial 16S ribosomal RNA". It matches the Rfam family "Bacterial small subunit ribosomal RNA", at positions 28 to 523 of the family's 1533-position model. The record is from RNAcentral.
GAUGAACGCUAGCUACAGGCUUAACACAUGCAAGUCGAGGGGAAACGACAUCGAAAGCUUGCUUUUGAUGGGCGUCGACCGGCGCACGGGUGAGUAACGCGUAUCCAACCUGCCCACCACUUGGGGAUAACCUUGCGAAAGUAAGACUAAUACCCAAUGAUAUCUCUAGAAGACAUCUGAAAGGGAUUAAAGAUUUAUCGGUGAUGGAUGGGGAUGCGUCUGAUUAGCUUGUUGGCGGGGUAACGGCCCACCAAGGCGACGAUCAGUAGGGGUUCUGAGAGGAAGGUCCCCCACAUUGGAACUGAGACACGGUCCAAACUCCUACGGGAGGCAGCAGUGAGGAAUAUUGGUCAAUGGACGAGAGUCUGAACCAGCCAAGUAGCGUGCAGGAUGACGGCCCUAUGGGUUGUAAACUGCUUUUAUAAGGGAAUAAAGUGAGUCUCGUGAGACUUUUUGCAUGUACCUUAUGAAUAAGGACCGGCUAAUUCCGUGCCAGCAGCCGCGGUAA